Ciona intestinalis (vase tunicate) is the source of this 489-nucleotide non-coding RNA. The record is from RefSeq and is a predicted model, not a curated record. Lineage: Eukaryota; Metazoa; Chordata; Ascidiacea; Phlebobranchia; Cionidae.
AUAUUGUACAAUAAGGAACUCAUCAGUGGAACCGAAUCUAAGAAAUCGUAAGCCGAAUUUAUUAAGAAGAAAUGAUUUUAUUGAAAAGAAUUGAUUUUAUUGAGAAGAAGGGAUUUUACUCCGAACAGCAGAUGUAUCGGAAACAACCAAACAACGUUAGUAAUAAAAGGCGCCGAGUUUUGCAAUAUUUUAUCAGUUCUUCAAAAGAAAUAACAUGAACAAGUCAGCACUUCUACUUUUGCUUCUUAUCGGACUUCUUGUCCUUACUGAAACUACUACUGCUUGGGGUCCUCGUCGUCGUCGUAGUGCUCGUCGUCGUCGUGCCCCUUCUGACCAAGAGGAAAUGCCACAAAUGAACGAAAUUCCAGACAUGGAGUCCGUUUCAGACGUCGAUUUCUCCAAAUGGGUUGUUGGAUAAUCACAAUAAGUGCUUAUUUAUGUUUAAGCUGCAAAAGUAAAGUUUUAAUAAAUUGAACAUCAGCCAAUGUA